AUGUUGCUCUUUGUGACGCUUGCAUCAACAUCUCCAUGGAUUCAACGAUUGGAACGGAUCAAGCCAAGACUAUGUUUUGGGACAGAAUUACGGAUCACUACAACAACUCUGUGGACGUGCAAUCAAGUUGUACGUAAGGUUCUCUUGGGCCUCGUUGAAGCACCAUUCAUGACCAAUGCAACCGAUGGUCCAGUUGCAUCAACCAAGUGA
Molecule: ribosomal RNA, 210 nt
Filed under: Triticum aestivum (bread wheat)
Lineage: Eukaryota; Viridiplantae; Streptophyta; Magnoliopsida; Poales; Poaceae
Description: partial small subunit ribosomal RNA
Source: RNAcentral